GAUGAACGCUGGCGGCGUGCCUAAUACAUGCAAGUCGAGCGAACAGACGAGGAGCUUGCUCCUCUGACGUUAGCGGCGGACGGGUGAGUAACACGUGGAUAACCUACCUAUAAGACUGGGAUAACUUCGGGAAACCGGAGCUAAUACCGGAUAAUAUAUUGAGCCGCAUGGUUCAAUAGUGAAAGACGGUUUUGCUGUCACUUCUAGAUGGAUCCGCGCCGCAUUAGCUAGUUGGUAAGGUAACGGCUUACCAAGGCAACGAUGCGUAGCCGACCUGAGAGGGUGGUCGGCCACACGGGAACUGAGACACGGUCCAGACUCCUACGGGAGGCAGCAGUAGGGAAUCUUCCGCAAUGGGCGAAAGCCUGACGGAGCAACGCCGCGUGAGUGAUGAAGGUCUUCGGAUCGUAAAACUCUGUUAUUAGGGAAGAACAAAUGUGUAAGUAACUAUGCACGUCUUGACGGUACCUAAUCAGAAAGCCACGGCUAACUACGUG
RNAcentral lists this ribosomal RNA (497 nucleotides) under uncultured bacterium. RNAcentral's name for it is "partial 16S ribosomal RNA". It matches the Rfam family "Bacterial small subunit ribosomal RNA", at positions 28 to 507 of the family's 1533-position model. The record is from RNAcentral.